GAUGAACGCUGGCGGCGUGCCUAAUACAUGCAAGUCGAGCGAACGGACGAGAAGCUUGCUUCUCUGAUGUUAGCGGCGGACGGGUGAGUAACACGUGGAUAACCUACCUAUAAGACUGGGAUAACUUCGGGAAACCGUAGCUAAUACCGGAUAAUAUUUUGAACCGCAUGGUUCAAAAGUGAAAGACGGUCUUGCUGUCACUUAUAGAUGGAUCCGCGCUGCAUUAGCUAGUUGGUAAGGUAACGGCUUACCAAGGCAACGAUGCAUAGCCGACCUGAGAGGGGGAUCGGCCACACUGGAACUGAGACACGGUCCAGACUCCUACGGGAGGCAGCAGUAGGGAAUCUUCCGCAAAGGGCGAAAGCCUGACGGAGCAACGCCGCGUGAGUGAUGAAGGUCUUCGGAUCGUAAAACUCUGUUAUUAGGGAAGAACAUAUGUGUAAGUAACUGUGCACAUCUUGACGGUACCUAAUCAGAAAGCCACGGCUAACUACGUG
Molecule: ribosomal RNA, 497 nt
Filed under: uncultured bacterium
Lineage: Bacteria
Description: partial 16S ribosomal RNA
Rfam family: Bacterial small subunit ribosomal RNA
Source: RNAcentral